UACGGGGGGAGCAAGCGUUGUUCGGAUUUACUGGGCGUAAAGGGCGCGUAGGCGGCCACCGCAAGUCGGUUGUGAAAUCUCCGGGCUUAACCCGGAAAGGUCAACUGAUACUGCGGGGCUAGAGUGCAGAAGGGGCAACUGGAAUUCUCGGUGUAGCGGUGGAAUGCGUAGAUAUCGAGAGGAACACCUGCGGCGAAGGCGGGUUGCUGGGCUGACACUGACGCUGACAGCGCGAAAGCUAGGGGAGCAAACAGG
Molecule: ribosomal RNA, 255 nt
Filed under: uncultured bacterium
Lineage: Bacteria
Description: partial 16S ribosomal RNA
Rfam family: Bacterial small subunit ribosomal RNA
Source: RNAcentral